This 344-nucleotide unclassified non-coding RNA is filed under the name Russula sp. Its description in RNAcentral is "partial contains 5.8S ribosomal RNA, internal transcribed spacer 2, and large subunit ribosomal RNA". Lineage: Eukaryota; Fungi; Basidiomycota; Agaricomycetes; Russulales; Russulaceae. RNAcentral also lists the same sequence under 4 other names. The record is from RNAcentral.
AACGCACCUUGCGCCCCUUGGCAUUCCGAGGGGCACACCCGUUUGAGUGUCGUGAAAUUCUCAAAAACCUUUUUCUUUUUGGGAAAGGGUUUUUGGACUUGGAGGCUUUUUGCUGGCUUCACCUUGAAGUGAGCUCCUCCUAAAUGAAUCAGUGGGGUCCGCUUUGCCGAUCCUUGACGUGAUAAGAUGUUUCUGCGUCUUUGGGUUUGGCACUGUCACCUGCUUCUAACUGUCUCAUUGACAAUGAUGGUGCUCCGGUCACCACCGCUCUUAUCGGUGGGAGGCUUGACCCACAAAAACAAAACCUUGACCUCAAAUCGGGUGAGACUACCCGCUGAACUUAA